AAAGUCGUAACAAGGUCUCCGUAGGUGAACCUGCGGAGGGAUCAUUCACAUGAUUUACUUUUCUAAACAAACUGUGAACUUUAUUUACUAUUCGUGUAGGGAUUACUUUGGUAUUCUUUUACACUGUCAUUCGAUGAACAUUAGAUAGCUGGCUCGUUUUUUUUAAUUCAAAACUUUCUCAGCUGAUUUGUUUUUGUUAGACUAAACAUCUAUUCAAUACAAUCAACCAAACAUAGAAACAACUCUAUGCCCUGGAUAUCUUGGUUCUC
Molecule: unclassified non-coding RNA, 269 nt
Filed under: Ascomycota sp.
Lineage: Eukaryota; Fungi; Ascomycota
Description: partial contains small subunit ribosomal RNA, internal transcribed spacer 1, and 5.8S ribosomal RNA
Rfam family: Eukaryotic small subunit ribosomal RNA (bases 1-47)
Source: RNAcentral